This 530-nucleotide ribosomal RNA is filed under the name Rhizoctonia solani. RNAcentral's name for it is "partial 18S ribosomal RNA". It matches the Rfam family "Eukaryotic small subunit ribosomal RNA", at positions 61 to 585 of the family's 1831-position model. The record is from RNAcentral. Lineage: Eukaryota; Fungi; Basidiomycota; Agaricomycetes; Cantharellales; Ceratobasidiaceae.
AGGUUGGGAGCUUAAUGUGGUUCUCAGCUUGGCACUGUGAACUGCGCAUGGCUCAGUAAAUCAGUUAUAGUUUAUUUGAUGGUAUCUUACUACAUGGAUACUGUGGUAAUUCUAGAGCUAAUACAUGCAUCCAAGCCCCUACUCUUGGAAGGGGUGUAUUUAUUAAAUAAAAAACCAACGCGGUUCGCCCCUUCUUUUGUGAUUCAUAAUAACUUCUCGAAUCGCAUGGCCUUGUGCCAGCUUUGCUUCAUUCAAAUUUCUGCCCCAUCAUCUUUCGAUGGGACGAUUAAGGCCUACCAAGGUUUCAACGGGGAGAGGGGAAUAAGGGUUCAAUUCCUGACCCCCAUCCUGAAAAACGGCUAUCCCUUCGGAGGAAGGCAGUUGAUUCACUAAUUACCCUAAACGGAAAGAGGAAAGUAAUGAAAAAAAAAAGCAAAGGGGGUUUUUUUGGUUCUUAUAAUUGGAAUGAGUACAAUUAAAUCCCUUACAAGAAUAAAGAAGGGGAAGUCUGGUAGAACCGCAACAGACAC